RNAcentral lists this ribosomal RNA (433 nucleotides) under uncultured bacterium. RNAcentral's name for it is "partial 16S ribosomal RNA". It matches the Rfam family "Bacterial small subunit ribosomal RNA", at positions 29 to 507 of the family's 1533-position model. The record is from RNAcentral.
AACGAACGCUGGCGGCAGGCCUAACACAUGCAAGUCGAGCGCGCCCUUCGGGGUGAGCGGCGGACGGGUGAGUAACGCGUGGGAACGUGCCCUUUUCUACGGAAUAGCCUCGGGAAACUGAGAGUAAUACCGUAUACGCCCUUUGGGAGAAAGAUUUAUCGGAAAAGGAUCGGCCCGCGUUGGAUUAGGUAGUUGGUGGGGUAAUGGCCUACCAAGCCGACGAUCCAUAGCUGGUUUGAGAGGAUGAUCAGCCACACUGGGACUGAGACACGGCCCAGACUCCUACGGGAGGCAGCAGUGGGGAAUCUUAGACAAUGGGGGCAACCCUGAUCUAGCCAUGCCGCGUGAGUGAUGAAGGCCUUAGGGUUGUAAAGCUCUUUCAGCUGGGAAGAUAAUGACGGUACCAGCAGAAGAAGCCCCGGCUAACUCCGUG